RNAcentral lists this unclassified non-coding RNA (404 nucleotides) under Hevea brasiliensis (rubber tree). Lineage: Eukaryota; Viridiplantae; Streptophyta; Magnoliopsida; Malpighiales; Euphorbiaceae. The record is from RNAcentral.
AUUUUGGGUUACGGCCACUGACUGAAACAAACAAACAGAGUUUAAAGCGGAAGACGUAACUAAUUCCCGGCAGGGUAGAGUCAUGGAGGAGACGCCGUUGAUUAACGGUUUCUCCGACGACGAACACCAUUACCACCAACAGAUCAUCGGCGACGAUGGAGAUUACCGGCCUAUUACAAAUAUCAGAGAAUGGUUGGCUAUUUUCUGCGUAGAGAGUGUGAAGCUUUGGAGGAUUGGAGGUCCGAUAGCGUUUAAUAUUAUCUGUCAAUAUGGUGUGAAUUCACUUACUAAUAUAUUCGUUGGGCAUCUUGGAGAUAUUGAGCUUUCUGCUAUUUCUAUUGCUCAAUCAGUCAUUGGAACCUUCUCUUUCGGGUUCAUGUUGGGAAUGGGAAGUGCAUUGGAGA